This 332-nucleotide long non-coding RNA is filed under the name Setaria viridis. RNAcentral describes it as "long non-coding RNA (SVIR_LNC005109)". The record is from RNAcentral. Lineage: Eukaryota; Viridiplantae; Streptophyta; Magnoliopsida; Poales; Poaceae.
CGCUCUACACCAGUCUACCAGAGUGAGAGGAACAUACACAUCAUAGGAAGGAAAUUAGAAGUAGUUGGAAGCUAGACAAUUUUGUUGAAAGAUGUAUACAGCUUUGUACGAGGAUGAGAGGAAAGAAGGGUGUAAUAGAUGUAAUAGAUGUAUAGUGAGAACAGGCGGAUAUGAUCUUAACUCACGAAUAAAUCUGAAAACAUUGGCUGCGUUGUGUAGCGCUUGUUCCGAAAGUGGCUUGUGCAUAUACUAUACUCCAAACCACUUGUUUGCUAUGAUCAUUGUAUCUAUUGCGAUUCUCUUAUCGCUGCUUGUACUCCAAAGGAAAGGAC